This 1028-nucleotide long non-coding RNA is filed under the name Androctonus crassicauda. The record is from RNAcentral. Lineage: Eukaryota; Metazoa; Arthropoda; Arachnida; Scorpiones; Buthidae.
AUAAAACACGAAAUAAAAUAUAGAUUUAUAGAAUAUUUACAUCUAAAUAUCUGUUUUGUUCUAAUAAUGUGACUUUUAUUAUUUAAAUCUUGUUAAUACAGAAAAUGUCAAUGAACUUCUGUUACCAUCAUGCUUGUUAAAAUCUUUGAUAACCUUGUAUUUGUUUUUAAUGAUAAAUCUAUAACAAACAAACCAUCUUCAUGAUUGUUUAAUUAAGUUCCUUCUGCUGUCGAGAAGAAAAAGAUAGAUUGCCAGCAGAUGUCACGAAUUUGUCACGAAGAGUGUAGGUGUGGCUAUUUUCUCACGAACGAUAUUUUAUAUUAUUUUCAUUUAUAUAGUAUGUUUGCAUAAGAAAAAUGUGAUAAAAACGCAAAAGUUUAAUGAGUUAAUAAAGUAUAGUAAAUCUUUUAAUGCCGUAAUAGUUUGCAUUAACAUUGGUGCAAUUUUCGUAAUCUAUGAAUGUUUGUAAAAUUCGAGAAACAAUGAAAAAUAUAUUGCUAAAUUAACUGAAAAUUUGUUUAUAAUAAUUUUGAGUUGAUAAAUAUCCGAAUCGAACUUUGAAGUGAUGCGAUACUGAGGUGAGCCAAAAGUCACUGUGCAACUGACGUGCUGUUAAUAAUAAAUAAGAAUAAUAAAAUCAUACAGCGUAUUUAGAAAAGACAUGUGGUUGCCACGUUCAUCCAAUCUCACAUCUCCAAAUUAUUAUCUGUGGUCUUUAUCGAAAAACUCUGUUUACAAGAACAAUCCCCAAUCUCGACCACAACUACAGGGAAUUAUAAUUCUAUUUAUCAACAAUAUUUCUCCGACACGUGUCUUUGCAGACAUGUUCCAUCAUGUGGAUGCAUGUCCACACAACGAGAGAAGACUGUUUCCAGCAUUUAUUUAGAAAGUACGUUUGUAGUAGUUGUAUUGUCUUGGCAGGUGCAUUGUGACUACACCUGCCAAGACAGUACAAAUGUUAACAAUACAAAUUAUUAUAUCUGAAUGCUUUCCUUAAUUUUAAUGACUUUCUAAUCCUCAUAUAUAUA